CUAGGUAAUGUAGCAAAGCUAAAAGAACUAUUGCGUAAAAGUGAUAAUCAUGUUUGUGCAGAUUGUGGGGCACAAG
Long non-coding RNA from Telopea speciosissima, 76 nucleotides. RefSeq lists it as uncharacterized. The transcript has 3 exons. The record is from RefSeq and is a predicted model, not a curated record. NCBI's taxonomy places the organism in Eukaryota, Viridiplantae, Streptophyta, Magnoliopsida, Proteales, Proteaceae.